Long non-coding RNA from Pipra filicauda (Wire-tailed manakin), 154 nucleotides. RefSeq lists it as uncharacterized. NCBI's taxonomy places the organism in Eukaryota, Metazoa, Chordata, Aves, Passeriformes, Pipridae. The record is from RefSeq and is a predicted model, not a curated record. The transcript has 3 exons.
CUUAACUGCAUUACUCAGUUUAUCAAGUGUUUGCAUUGCAACUAAGUAUCAGCCGAUACAUGGAACAAGGCUCUGCUGCUUCCAGUGUUUGAUGCCUAUUUCAUCUGAGGCAGAUGCUUGGAGCCUGUUAACCUCUCACAUUAGGUCAUCCUGC